RNAcentral lists this unclassified non-coding RNA (272 nucleotides) under Hevea brasiliensis (rubber tree). The record is from RNAcentral. Lineage: Eukaryota; Viridiplantae; Streptophyta; Magnoliopsida; Malpighiales; Euphorbiaceae.
GAUUUUUCUCCUUCUUAGGUUCGAGUUUGACUAAUAUUGCCAAAUCGGUUAAUGGCAUGCUUGGUCAUGAAGGGCUGGAAGUCGUGAAUCCUGAUGGAGGCAAUGAGGAUGCUGGUGCUGAAGCCCAGCGAGGAAGAUGGAAGCAGGAGGAUCGUGAUAAUUAUUGGAAAAUGAUGCAAAAGUACAUAGGUGCUGAUAUUACCUCUCUGGUGACGUUGCCAGUUAUUAUUUGUGAGCCUAUGACAAACCUUCAAAAAAUGGCAGAGUUGAUG